Molecule: ribosomal RNA, 253 nt
Filed under: uncultured bacterium
Lineage: Bacteria
Description: partial 16S ribosomal RNA
Rfam family: Bacterial small subunit ribosomal RNA
Source: RNAcentral
GACAGAGGGGGCAAGCGUUGCUCGGAAUUACUGGGCGUAAAGGGCGCGUAGGCGGGAUGGCAAGUCGGUCGUGAAAUCCUUCGGCUCAACCGAAGAACGUCGAUCGAUACUGCUGUUCUUGAGGGUUGCAGAGGAGACUGGAAUUCCCGGUGUAGCGGUGAAAUGUGUAGAGAUCGGGAGGAACACCGGUGGCGAAGGCGGGUCUCUGGGACGUUACUGACGCUGAGACGCGAAAGCGUGGGGAGCAAACAGG